UACAGAGGUCUCAAGCGUUGUUCGGAUUCAUUGGGCGUAAAGGGUGCGUAGGUGGCGUCGUAAGUCAGGUGUGAAAUUUCGGAGCUUAACUUCGAAACUGCAUUUGAUACUGCGGUGCUUGAGGACUGGAGAGGAGACUGGAAUUUACGGUGUAACAGUGAAAUGCGUAGAGAUCGUAAGGAAGACCAGUGGCGAAGGCGGGUCUCUGGACAGUUCCUGACACUGAGGCACGAAGGCCAGGGGAGCAAACGGG
Molecule: ribosomal RNA, 253 nt
Filed under: uncultured bacterium
Lineage: Bacteria
Description: partial 16S ribosomal RNA
Rfam family: Bacterial small subunit ribosomal RNA
Source: RNAcentral